This 437-nucleotide ribosomal RNA is filed under the name uncultured Planctomycetota bacterium. Its description in RNAcentral is "bacterial SSU rRNA". It matches the Rfam family "Bacterial small subunit ribosomal RNA", at positions 383 to 810 of the family's 1533-position model. Lineage: Bacteria; Pseudomonadati; Planctomycetota. The record is from RNAcentral.
GUGACGAAGCGACGCCGCGUGUGGGAAGAAGGCCUUCGGGUUGUAAACCACUGUCAGGAGUUAAGAAGUGUAGGGGUGCUAAUAGUAUCCUUACUUGACUAAGGCUCCAGAGGAAGCCACGGCUAACUCUGUGCCAGCAGCCGCGGUAAUACAGAGGUGGCAAGCGUUGUUCGGAAUUAUUGGGCGUAAAGAGCACGUAGGCGGUCCUGCAAGUCGGCUGUGAAAGCCUUCCGCUCAACGGAAGAACAGCAGUUGAUACUACAGGACUAGAGUGCGGGAGGGGAGAGUGGAACUUCUGGUGGAGCGGUGAAAUGCGUAGAUAUCAGAAGGAACGCCGGCGGCGAAAGCGACUCUCUGGCCCGUAACUGACGCUGAGUGUGCGAAAGCUAGGGGAGCAAACGGGAUUAGAUACCCCGGUAGUCCUAGCCGUAAACGAU